UACGUAGGGGGCAAGCGUUAUCCGGAUUUACUGGGUGUAAAUGGAGCGUAGACGGCAGUGCAAGUCCGGAGUGAAAGCCCGGGGCUCAACCCUGGGACUGCUCUGGAAACUGUAAAGCUGGAGUGCGGGAGGGGCAGGCGGAAUUCCUGGUGUAGCGGUGAAAUGCGUAGAUAUCAGGAGGAACACCGGCGGCGAAGGCGGCCUGCUGGACCGUAACUGACGUUGAGGCUCGAAAGUGUGGGGAGCAAACAGG
RNAcentral lists this ribosomal RNA (253 nucleotides) under uncultured bacterium. Its description in RNAcentral is "partial 16S ribosomal RNA". It matches the Rfam family "Bacterial small subunit ribosomal RNA", at positions 524 to 776 of the family's 1533-position model. The record is from RNAcentral.